Molecule: long non-coding RNA, 401 nt
Filed under: Glycine max (soybean)
Lineage: Eukaryota; Viridiplantae; Streptophyta; Magnoliopsida; Fabales; Fabaceae
Description: long non-coding RNA (GMAX_LNC001007)
Source: RNAcentral
CCAACUUCUUUCAAGUAACAUAGUACUGUUUACACUAAACAUGCAAAUACUACUACAGCAACUUGAAUACACAUUAUUAUCCAUAUUUUAAACAAGAUUAUUACACAUGAAACAGUCACGGCCAUUGGUCUAACAUUUAUAGAAAGAGGUCAUAGGAGCAAAUUGAACGAAACCAGCUUCAGUUAACAUCAACUCGAGGAACCUCAAACUUUAGAUUUGGAAUCAUAGUUUCAAAUGCUUCCCAUGAACCAGGUCAUGUCUUAGGAGCUAAUAGAAUGAAGCCAGUUUAAGUUAACCUCGACUCGAGGAACCUCUAACUUCAGAUUUGGAAGCAUAGCUUCGAAUGCUUCCCAUGAAGCAGCUGUCUCUUCAUCACAUACCACCACCUUCAAAUUCUCAAG